RNAcentral lists this ribosomal RNA (451 nucleotides) under uncultured bacterium. Its description in RNAcentral is "partial 16S ribosomal RNA". It matches the Rfam family "Bacterial small subunit ribosomal RNA", at positions 354 to 796 of the family's 1533-position model. The record is from RNAcentral.
GUGGGGAAUAUUGGACAAUGGGGGGAACCCUGAUCCAGCCAUGCCGCGUGUGUGAAGAAGGCCUUUUGGUUGUAAAGUACUUUAAGCGAGGAGGAGGCUACCGAGAUUAAUACUCUUGGAUAGUGGACGUUACUCGCAGAAUAAGCACCGGCUAACUCUGUGCCAGCAGCCGCGGUAAUACAGAGGGUGCAAGCGUUAAUCGGAUUUACUGGGCGUAAAGCGCGCGUAGGUGGCCAAUUAAGUCAAAUGUGAAAUCCCCGAGCUUAACUUGGGAAUUGCAUUCGAUACUGGUUGGCUAGAGUAUGGGAGAGGAUGGUAGAAUUCCAGGUGUAGCGGUGAAAUGCGUAGAGAUCUGGAGGAAUACCGAUGGCGAAGGCAGCCAUCUGGCCUAAUACUGACACUGAGGUGCGAAAGCAUGGGGAGCAAACAGGAUUAGAUACCCUGGUAGUCA